Molecule: ribosomal RNA, 446 nt
Filed under: uncultured bacterium
Lineage: Bacteria
Description: bacterial SSU rRNA
Rfam family: Bacterial small subunit ribosomal RNA
Source: RNAcentral
UCCAGACUCCUACGGGAGGCAGCAGUGGGGAAUAUUGCACAAUGGGGGAAACCCUGAUGCAGCAACGCCGCGUGAGUGAAGAAGUAUUUCGGUAUGUAAAGCUCUAUCAGCAGGGAAGAAGAAGGACGGUACCUGACUAAGAAGCCCCGGCUAACUACGUGCCAGCAGCCGCGGUAAUACGUAGGGGGCGAGUGUUAUCCGGAUUUACUGGGUGUAAAGGGAGCGUAGACGGUUUUUCAAGUCUGAAGUGAAAGCCCGCGGCUCAACUGCGGAACGGCUUUGGAAACUGAGUAACUGGAGUGCUGGAGGGGCAGGCGGAAUUCCUGGUGUAGCGGUGAAAUGCGUAGAUAUCAGGAGGAACACCGGUGGCGAAGGCGGCCUGCUGGACAGUAACUGACGUUGAGGCUCGAAAGCGUGGGGAGCAAACAGGAUUAGAUACCCUAGUA